GAACAAAAGUUUACAGAGUUUGUUGAAAUACUUACACGAGUUACACACAUGAAAGGAAAGGAGAACCUUACAAAAAGGACACUUUGUGGGUUUUCAUGUUUCUGGCUACUCUUUGUGUACUAAUUCAAUUAAAUGGAAAUGUAACACAAAGAGUUGCUGGGGAGGUAGCCCAUGUUAACUUACAACAAACAAGAGAAAUGUAUUAUAACAAAG
RNAcentral lists this long non-coding RNA (213 nucleotides) under Mytilus galloprovincialis (Mediterranean mussel). Lineage: Eukaryota; Metazoa; Mollusca; Bivalvia; Mytilida; Mytilidae. The record is from RNAcentral.